This 1744-nucleotide long non-coding RNA is filed under the name Felis catus (domestic cat). RNAcentral's name for it is "lncRNA (ENSFCAG00000051539.1)". Lineage: Eukaryota; Metazoa; Chordata; Mammalia; Carnivora; Felidae. The record is from RNAcentral.
GACUCCCGAACGGGGCUGAGCACGUGAGCCGCUAAAACUGCGUGUGGGGGAGCUAGCUCCCCAUCUCAUCCCGUCACAUCGUGGAGGAAGGGGCGUCUGCAACAGGGGCCCUAAGGCUGGGGAAGGAGGAGAUGCCUUUUGCUUCUGGAGGACGGGUGCCAUGCUCAGAGCAGCCCAACCAUGACUCACACAUCCAAAUGAGGCUGCUGCCUUAUAAGGAGGCACUUUGAAGGCUAUUAUUCCAAGGAGCCUGCCACCUCCCGAAGCAUUUUUAGAGCUCCUGCUUUGAAUCACUACCAGUGUCAAGAUGGUGAAUCCUCACACCUCCUGGGAGCAGUUAUUUUUGGAAACAAUGAAAGUCAGGAAAGUAUCCUUGGGAACAGAGGUGGUGCUGUGCAGAGGCGAGCCUUCAGGGUUUCAAGUGCUUGGACCUCGCCCAGCUCUGGGUAAGUGGCCUGCAUAGCUGUGCUGGGGCAUCACCAGCAGCCAAAGAGGGAGGGGCUGUGGGGCUGGAGAGGCUCUUGCUUCCAACAUCCGCUCACCCUGAGAUUUCCUUUCUCUGCCUGUUCCUUUCCUUUUGCCUGGGCUCAGCCGGGUGCCGGGAAUUGAGAUGGUGUCAGGUGACAAGAGGCCACGUUCCCCGCAGCUGGCCUCCUCCUCAGGCUGUGAUGAAGGGGUCAGAAUACCUGCAACGGCCACACAACCACGAUGACCGCAGACUCCCCAGCAACCACAAUUGCAGCCACCACACCGUAGGGCCGUAUGACCAACAUCAGCAAUCGCUACGGUAAACUGCAGCAAGCACACAAGCACACAACAGCAGUCGCAACCACACCAUCUGCGCGACCACACAACACCCACACAAGCACCGUGACCUGCAGCAACCACUGCGUCAGUGGCCAUUUAUCAACUCUGUCUCAUGUUCCGACUUGAGACCCGGAAAGGGAGGUCUGCCAUGCCUCCCGAGACAGAUCAGCGGAGCCCUGGGAGGCUUCUCGGACCUUUGGGUGGGAAUGAGCCGGUGGGAACUUGGAUCAGGUGCAGUACGAGGGACGUACAAGCUGCACCCACUGCGGAAGUUCUUCAGAGGACGAUGCUGACCUUACCAGCGUGUGGUAAAACAAGGUCUGUUCACAGGUCAGGGACACAGAGUGAUCAAAACAGAGUGCCCUUCAAACAAACACUUGCAUGCAAAUAUUCAUUGCAACAUCACUUAAAAUAGUGGAAGUUACAAACGACCCAAACGUCCAUCAGCUGGCCAAUGGCUAAAGAAAACGUGGCAUAUCCAUACGUGGAGUAGUAUCCAGCCAUAAAAGAAACAGAAUAGUGCUUUGAUCUACAACACGCAUGGGCCUCGAAAACAUUAUGGUAAGUGAAAGAAGUCAGACACAAAAAGCCACAUGUGGUAUGAUCCCGUUUAUAUGAAAUGUCCACAGUCCACGGAGACAGAAAGCACAUUAGUGAUUGCCAGGGGCUGUGUGUGGGAGGAACGGACAGUGACUGGUUAAUGGGUCCAGAGUUUCCUCUCGAGGUGAUGAGAAUGUUCUGAAACUCGGUGGUGGUGAUGGUUGUACAAUCUUGUAAAAGUAUGAAAUGUCAUGGAAUUGUACACCUUAAAUGGUAGAUUUUAUGUUAUUUUACCACAGGUAUACAUGAAACCCAGAGUUCCUGCCCCUGCAUUCAAGUGAGAGGAGACAGAUGAUUAACAAAUAAAUAUAUAUUUAAGGUAAGUGCUAUGAAGACA